This 589-nucleotide ribosomal RNA is filed under the name uncultured bacterium. RNAcentral describes it as "bacterial SSU rRNA". It matches the Rfam family "Bacterial small subunit ribosomal RNA", at positions 8 to 629 of the family's 1533-position model. The record is from RNAcentral.
AGAGUUUGAUUAUGGCUCAGAAUCAACGCUGGCGGCGUGCCUAACACAUGCAAGUCGAACGAGAAAGUGGAGCAAUCCAUGAGUAAAGUGGCGACCGGGUGAGUAACACGUGACUAACCUACCUUUCAGUGGGGAAUAACCUCGGGAAACCGUGGCUAAUACCGCAUAAUGUCUUCGGACCAAAGGAGCAAUUCGCUGGAAGAGGGGGUCGCGGCCGAUUAGCUAGUUGGCGGGGUAACGGCCCACCAAGGCAAUGAUCGGUAGCCGGCCUGAGAGGGCGCACGGCCACACUGGAACUGAAACACGGUCCAGACUCCUACGGGAGGCAGCAGUGGGGAAUUUUGCGCAAUGGGGGAAACCCUGACGCAGCAACGCCGCGUGGAGGAUGAAGCCCCUUGGGGUGUAAACUCCUUUCGAUCGGGACGAUGAUGACGGUACCGGAUGAAGAAGCACCGGCUAACUCUGUGCCAGCAGCCGCGGUAAUACAGAGGGUGCAAGCGUUGUUCGGAAUUAUUGGGCGUAAAGGGUGCGUAGGCGGUGCGGUAAGUCUGUUGUGAAAUCUCCGGGCUCAACUCGGAGCCUGCAACGG